GUAGGUGGCAAGCGUUGUCCGGAAUUAUUGGGCGUAAAGCGCGCGCAGGCGGUUCUUUAAGUCUGAUGUGAAAGCCCACGGCUCAACCGUGGAGGGUCAUUGGAAACUGGAGAACUUGAGUACAGAAGAGGAAAGCGGAAUUCCACGUGUAGCGGUGAAAUGCGUAGAGAUGUGGAGGAACACCAGUGGCGAAGGCGGCUUUCUGGUCUGUAACUGACGCUGAGGCGCGAAAGCGUGGGGAGCAAACAGGAUUAGAUACCCUGGUAGUCCCACGCCGUAAACGAUGAGUGCUAAGUGUUAGGGGGUUUCCGCCCCUUAGUGCUGCAGCUAACGCAUUAAGCACUCCGCCUGGGGAGUACGGCCGCAAGGCUG
Molecule: ribosomal RNA, 372 nt
Filed under: uncultured organism
Description: partial 16S ribosomal RNA
Rfam family: Bacterial small subunit ribosomal RNA
Source: RNAcentral